Small nuclear RNA from Echinops telfairi (small Madagascar hedgehog), 135 nucleotides. RefSeq annotates it as U4 spliceosomal RNA. The record is from RefSeq and is a predicted model, not a curated record. The transcript has a single exon. Lineage: Eukaryota; Metazoa; Chordata; Mammalia; Afrosoricida; Tenrecidae.
AGCUUUGCGCAGUGGCAAUAUCAUAGCCAAUGAGGUUUACCUGAGGCGUGAUUAUUGCUAAUUGAAAAAAAAAUUCACUGCAGUCUGCACAUAAGUUUGUGCCUUUACCUUAUUUAAUUCUAGGACUCUUUAAAA